RNAcentral lists this ribosomal RNA (436 nucleotides) under uncultured Glomus. RNAcentral describes it as "SSU rRNA". It matches the Rfam family "Eukaryotic small subunit ribosomal RNA", at positions 569 to 1009 of the family's 1831-position model. The record is from RNAcentral. Lineage: Eukaryota; Fungi; Glomeromycota; Glomeromycetes; Glomerales; Glomeraceae.
AGCAGCCGCGGUAAUUCCAGCUCCAAUAGCGUAUAUUAAAGUUGUUGCAGUUAAAAAGCUCGUAGUUGAAUUUCGGGAUCGACGGGUCGGUCGCGCCUCUGGUGUGUACUGGCCCUGUCGGUUUCUCCCUUCUGACGAACCACGAUGUCAUUAAUUUGGUGUCGUGGGAAAUCAGGACCGUUACUUUGAAAAAUUAGAGUGUUUAAAGACAGGCAUUCGCUUGAAUACAUUAGCAUGGAAUAAUGAAAUAGGACGUUUGAUCUUAUUUUGUUGGUUUCUAAGAUCGACGUAAUGAUUAAUAGGGAUAGUUGGGGGCAUUAGUAUUCAAUUGUCAGAGGUGAAAUUCUUGGAUUUAUUGAAGACUAACUACUGCGAAAGCAUUUGCCAAGGAUGUUUUCAUUAAUCAAGAACGAAAGUUAGGGGAUCGAAGACGAUC